RNAcentral lists this long non-coding RNA (321 nucleotides) under Elaeis guineensis (African oil palm). RNAcentral describes it as "long non-coding RNA (EGUI_LNC027581)". The record is from RNAcentral. Lineage: Eukaryota; Viridiplantae; Streptophyta; Magnoliopsida; Arecales; Arecaceae.
AAUAUUAUGUACAAACGUAUCAUAUAGGACUUCAGAAAGUCAUAAUAAGCAAUAGUAUAUUAUAUAAUGAUACAAAAAAUUAUAUAUAUUAUUCAGGAUAUCGUAUAUACUCACAGAAAAUCAUAUAAGGCAUUCGAAAGUAAUAACAUUGUUCUUUCUUUGUUUUACGAAAAAAAGAUAUUUUUGUUAGAAAAACAUUGAGAAAAAAAUUGAACAGUAUUAAAUAUCUACCCAACUAUUAAUUGCUCAAUGUGAACCAACUGACAGCCACAGUACGCUCCACAUCAAUUUUGCUGCACUAUGAAGAAAAGAUUGCACGCU